AUGACCCUGAGGUUAUAUAAUUCAUUAACAAAUGAUAGUGGCUAACUGGCUAAAUGAUACUGGCAAAUGAUACUGAAAAAGAAAGCGAAUUUACAUUGCUAACACAGAAUAUUGAAAUGUUAUGCUUAGGAAUUGUAAACACUCCACUCUCCUAAUAUAUUUUAGAUGACUGCUUCUGUUUGGGGAAGUUAAUUACAAAAACUUGUUUUUUUCUAUUACUAUUAGUUUUUAUUUGUGUAUGGUAGAUCUUUCAGUUGGUAUUUUACUGCCUUUCAUUAAAAAAGAAUUCUGGAGAAGAAUAUAAGGGGAUUUGAGGGACAUGUGUUAGGUGGCAGAGAGUAUAGUAAAAGCUAGCCAGAUGCUUUUAUUUUGGUCUGUUGUUCAAUAGAAGAAGCAGGUCUAUAAAAGAGAAAGAAGGUAGACUAUUUUUAUAUUAUGAGUGAGAAAUAACAUGUUUAAGGACAUAGCUAAUUUUCAGUUGAUCUAUAUCAAUGAGUAGCAUCAAAGUGGCAGAUAAUGCUAAAAAACUGAAUUAAAAAAUGUCAAAUAUGGUAGUUCAUUUCUAAUAAAAGAAGUCCAAAGAUAUUGCUUUGAAAUAUAUUGGAAAAAGUGAAAGGUUGUUCAGUAAUUUCAUCAGGACCAUCAUAUAUUGUUUAAUAAAUGCUUUUCUCUGCCAUCACCCCUUUCCCUGCCCCACUAUCCAAUCCAUGUUUAGAUGGGUAUAAGGAACUCUGAGUGAAUAAAUUCUCUCUUACCAAUUCAGGUUGGCACUUAAGUGCUCUGCAACUUCUCAUUUUAGAAAGUUGCCUGGGGGUUCUGAGAGGUUAAAUAUUUGAAUCAGAUGUCACAGCCAGUAUGCAUCAGAGGCAGGACAUAAACCUAGGUUUUCCAGAUUCUGUGGAAUUGAAUCCUUAUUCUCCAUUCAGCUUUUUUUCAUGUGAACCUUUAGCUUUCAUCUCCAAAUACUGAGUAUCAGAUUCAGCAGAGGUGAUCUCUGGAAAAUUCCAUAGAGGAGACUGUGGCAAAGUAUUUAAUUUCAAAGGACCUUAGUUCAAGGAUGCAAGCUAUAUAAAAAAAUUUGUUAAAGGCAACUGAAGAUCUGAAAUCUGGAUUAAUUAUAGAACGAAGAACAAACUGUAUCUGAAAUUUCAGAUUUGUAAAGAGUUGUCAACAGCCAUAUAUUAACAACUGCUGGGGACAGAGGAAACCUAGAGAAGUGGGAAGCUAUUGUGUGGAAGACUGCAUAUAUCAUCCGGUUCAGUAGCUGUGUCAGUUGAUAUCAAUAAAAAAAUUAAGCAAACAAUACAGUCUGGAGUGUCAAAAGUUGGAAUUGGCUGAGCUAUCCAGGUAAGAUAAGAAUAAGAACUAGGAAUUUCUUUUGGUAUGGUAUAGAAAAAAAGAAGAUAAAAAAUGAAAGAACUCUUCUUAGCAUUCAGAUAAAAUUUGUAAAGCACUAUGUAAACCUUAAAAUGCUUUAUAUGCAGGGCCAUCUUAUUAAAUAGAAGGAGGGAUGGAAGAAAAUAGAACUGACCAACUCUUAAUUUGUUUCUGCUUUCUCUGCCAAGGAGAAUGAUGUUUAGGCUGGAAAAGACAGAACAAAAAUAGUUAAUUAAGAGUCAGUUCUCUAGAGUGCCAGGUCUGGGAUAGGAAGACCUGGGUUCAAAUCUGGCCUCAGAUAUUUCUUGGCUCUGGGACUGUGGGCAAGUCAUUUUAUCCAGAUUGCCUAGCCCUUGUAGAAAUAAUACUAAGACAAAAAGUAAAGGUUUUUUUUUUUUAAGGUCUAUUUUCAAUAUAAUAAGGAGAUAAUGAGAGGACACCUAAGUUACAAGUCACCAAGUCCAGAUUAACUCCAUUCUCAAGCAUUGAAAGCAUUGGCAGAUAUAAUUUUGAAUUAUCUUUGAAAGAUCAAAUGCUUCAAUUUCUUUAAAGGAAUAAAGUGGAAACAGUUGACUAUAGGCUAGUGUUCAUGAUUUUGAUUCCUGGCAAAAUUCUAGAACAUUAUUAAUAUCAAAAUGAAGAUUAGCCACUAUGUAGAACAGAAGCGUCAAACUCAGGGCCCUUCCAGCAUGGCCUGGACAAGAUUAAUAUAUAAUUGAAAAAUAUUGAACAAAAUACCUAAAAAUACAAUAAAACAGAGAUGUUAAUUUGUGGUUUUCUAAGUCAGUCUGUGGUUUUCUAAAUCAGGGCAGCUAGGUGCCACAAUUGAUAAGAGUGGUGGGUCUGAAGUCAGGAGGACUCAUCUUCCUGUUUGCCUCAGUUCCUCAUCUGUAAAAUGAGCUGGAGAAGCAAAUGGCAACCCAUUCUAGUUUUGGCAAGAAAACUCCAAAUGGGAUCACGAAUUGUCAGCUACAACUUAACAACAACAAAACAGUUGGCCUGCAGGGAUAAAUUUCCAUUUGUGUUUGACAUCACUAAACUAGAAAAGAAAGGGGCUGAUUUCAAAGGGCCAACAUUAAGGUCAACUCAUGCAAGACUAACUUAAAUGUAUUUCCUUUGUUAACUGGGUUAUCAAACUAUUAGGUCAGUGAAAUGCUGUGGAUAUAGUAACUGGUGUUCAUAUGGUCUCACCUCCAUUAGAUUUUGCACUCCUGAUGGUCAAGAAAUACCUUUGGUCUCUCUUUGCAUUUCCAACCCAACUUAGCACAGUGCCUGCCAUUUAGCAGGCACUUAAUAAUUGCUUAUUGACUGACUGACCUAAAUCUUAGCUUUUGACAAAGUAUUUCACACUAUUCUUGUGGAAUAGUUGAAGAAUAAUUAGAUUUGGCCAGACCAAAAGAACAGGAGUCAUUACCGGUGUGAAAUAGGGAAUGUAAGUUACUAUCCCCAUUUUAUAGAGGGGUGAAAUGAGGCUCAACUAGGUUGAAUGACUUGUCCACAAUAGUUAACAAGUAUAUAAUCACCUCUCAAGACUUCUUUUCUAGAAAACUCCAUUAACUCACAUUUAUAUGGUAUUUCAAGGUUUACAAAGUCCUUUCCUAGCAAUAGCUUUAUAAGGUAAGUGAUUGAAAUAUUAACCUAGUUUUAGGGACAAAGCUCCAAAAGGUUAAGUGACUCAUCCAGAGUCUCACAACUACUAAAUCUCUGAGUCUUGAUGCAAAUCUUGGUUCUUCUGAUAUGAACAACACAAUGUCCCAUUAAUGUGUGCAUCUAAUGAUUAUAAACUCCUAAUUGAAGGUAAGUAUUGUAUCUUUUUUUUUUCAAUUUUGUAUUAUGUCAUUGAGAAGUCUGAUUAGCAAAUAACAAAUACUUAUUAUAUAUUUCUGGAAUUGAUUAGGUUUUUACACUGCUUUUCUCACAGUAGUAUCUAGACCUUUCUAGAAGGGUUACUAAGCUAAAUUAUUGACCUCUAAGGCAACAAAAGAGGACUGAAAUGUAAAAAAAAAAAGUACAAAAAUUCAAAUGAUAAGAACAACCCAGAACAGCAAAAGAUUUAAAAUAAAGAUCAUAUCUUGCUACCUAUUGAAGAUUUAAUCCUUUAUUAUCUCAAAAACAAGUUGUAACAAUCACAGAAAAAUAUGGAAAGAAGUAGUAGUAGUAGUAGUAGUCUCUCGGUAACCGAGGAUGACGAUUGUCUUUGUGCGUUUUCAUCUAUGGUGUAUAGAUGAGUGUGCACAAAGACACUUGUGCGUGAAGGAGAUUUAAGUGGAAAAGUCGAUGCACAGAGACAGUCCCACUCUCUCGGCGUUGGAAGCCUGGGUCCAGUGGCACGAAAAGUCCUUACACCUGGAGACUUCCUCAGCUGCAUUGGAGGGCUGUGUUGUCUUUUGUGCUCCAACAAGCCCUAAGCACUGCACAGUGCUUUGCUGAUAGAUAGGAAGUACUUAAUAAAGGCUUAUUUGUUGAUAUUAUGUUGAUUGAAUCUCAAAAUACAAUUGAAAAGAGAUUAGCCUCAUGAUCCAAAUUGGAAAUAAUGUAGGCAUAAUUAAAUCAAUCCCUAUUCAAGAAGUUUUAGGAGUUCUCUAUAGUCACUAGGACAAUAUACAAACUUUUGUUGACAUUGAAGGUCUUUCACAAUCAGAAUGAUUAUCUUUUAUGCAGUCUUUCUUGUAGCAUUUCCAUCCCAGUCAGGCUGACUGCUUGUAGUAUACACCAUUUUCUACUUCUAAAAAUGAUUCCCCCAGGUUUUCCUAGAAAGAACUCCUUCCUCAACUUCACCUGUUGGAAUUCUUGUUUCCCUUCAGGAUUCAGCUCAAAGCCUCAACAAUUAGAAGCAGCAAGGUGGUGCAUGCUGAGCUUAGAGUCUGGGGAAAAGGAGCUCAAAUCUUGCUGCAUAUUUACUAUAUGUAAAUAGCUCGAUGACAGAAAGGGUAAGGAAAGAAGUGUUGCAAAGUAAAGUGACCAGAACAAAGGGAAGGUUGUAAACAGUAACAGCAAUAAUAUAUGAGGAUCAACUGUGAAUGACUUGGCUAUUAUCAACAAGGCAAGGAUCCAGGACAACUCCAAGAAUUCAUGACAAAAAGGGGUUAUCUAUCACCAUAGAAGGAACAGAUGGAAUCUGAAUGCAAAUUACAUAAAUUUUUCUACAGUCUGAUGACUGUCUACAUAGAAGAGACGAUUCCCUAUGAAGACAAUUCACAAGUAUUCAGGGAGGUGUAUACAGGGGAGCAGAGGAGACAACUAGAAAAUGAAGAUGAGAGAGGGAGAGAACAAGACCUGAGAAAGAGUCUUCAACCUUGAUAGGGACCGAGAAAGAGGGAGAGAACAUGAUUAUAGCCAACCACGAAGGCAUUUUCAACAGUGAUGAAGAACAAUACAAAUACACAGAAUAUACAGAAAGAGGCCAAAAGUGUCAUAGAGCAAGUAGAAGAAAAGAAGAGACAAGACACAAGUCAUCUUGAAGCAAUAGCAGAAGAUACCAUGAAAGUGAACAAGGGGACAGUCAGAGGAGACAUAAACAAAAAAUAAAGAAGAGCAAAGAAGGAAAAGAAGCUGGCAGUGAAACUGCCCCGUAGCAGAUAACUGAAGCUGCUUCUGCUAAAUAGGUCUGUUUUGCUUGCAUCAAUGCCAGAAACUGGCUUCUUUAAAUCUUGUCGUUUUUCUGGAUAACGUUUAGGAAAUUUUUCUUUUCAUAUUAUUCUGUUAGUAUACAAAGAAAAGCUUUUUUUUUUUUUCAAAAUAGUGAAUUUUUCAUGUAAAAAAAAGUCAGUCUGUGGAAGACACGGAUUGCCAGAUUAUGGGGUUUACAAUGUUAUUCCACAGGCAGUGGGUAGGCAGUACAGAUUUUCAACCAGUAAAAUGAUUGACAUUAUACAUGAAGAAUAUACAUAUAUUAGAAAGAAGAAGAUUUUGCAAGUAAUAAUCAUUAUAUUGUGCAUCGAUGAUUGCAAAGUAUAUUUUUCACAACCUUAUAACAUAAGUAGUAUAAAUGUUAUUAACAUCAUUUUAUAGAUGAGAAAACUGAGACUCAGAGAAAUUAGAUGAUUAUCCCAUAGCCACAUAGUUAAUAUCUGAGUUGGGAUUCUAAUCCAAAAAUCUUGAUUUCAAGUCCAACACUAGAGACCAAUGUAAAAGUCCAGAGUUCUUCCUGAUAACCUCUCCCCCUUGGCUUCAAGUUAUGCUUCCUUUUCAUGUUUUUCUUCCUCUCUGUGUAUUUCCUAUCCCCAAUCUAGUUUUUUAAUUAAAACAUUAAAAAAUGUUAAUAUAGAAAAAUUUUAAAUAUUGAAAAAAGAUGUAAGUUUUCCAUCAAAGUUUACAGGGCUCCUGAAAAUCUAUCCAUAGACCCCAGGUUAAGAAUCCCUAAUUUAGGGGGGCAAUUUCUUAUUUAAGUUUUUGAUUACCAUUUAUUUUUAUUUUACAUAUAUAACAAUAUAAUCUGUAACAGAACAAUAAUGUUAUACAUAUGAUUUGUUACAAAUAUGCAGUAAAUUUUAAUAAUAAGCAUAACCAAGGGAAACAAAUUCUCACAUUUACUAUAACCAAAAAUCUAUAUCUCAGGGGGCAGCUGGGUAGCUUGGUGGAUUGAGAAUCAGGCCUAGAGACGGGAGGUCCUAAAUUCAAAUUUGGCCUCAGCCACUUCCUAGCUGUGUGACCCUGGGCAAGUCACUUGACCCCCAUUGCCUAGCCCUUACCACUCUUCUGCCUUGGAGCCAAUACACAGCAUUGGUGGAUGGUAAGGGUUUAAAAAAAAUCUAUAUCUCAUUCUUUUUUUUCCCUUCCUCUCCCAUUCCUCACCCUUUCCCAAAAAGGCAACUCUGGCAUGGUCAGCAGAGGGGGAAAUCACUUCUCUUUUUUGUGACUCAUUUUCUUCCUCUUCCUUUUAUAUGGUUUUAUCCUAUGACCCUUUUCAGUUUGAAACUUGUUAUUUAAAUUCAAUUUUAUUUUACUUUUAGCUCUUCUCUCCUCCCUGCCCUUGCCUCUAUUAAGAAAUCAAGAAAAACAAAUCUCAUUACAAACAUAUAUAGUUAAGUGAAACAAAUUACCCUGUUAUCCAUGGCAAAAAAACAAAAACAAAAACAAAAAAAUCCACCACAUUCCUUAAUAUGCACAAAUGUCAGAGAUGGGAUCUGUAGACAAUCUUCUAUUUUAUCACUUUCUUAAACAGAGAGAUAAAACUGGAUAUUCAUUUUUUAAAGUGAAAUCUACUACAUUUCACUAUAAUGUUUAACCUCUCUAUCCUUAGGAUGAAAGGAUAGUACUCUACAUAAUUUUUACCUACUUUUCAAACUGUCUUGGGUUUUAGUGCCAUCAUAAGCUCAAUGCUACAGAAAAAUAGCUUCUAGGGCAACUCUUUCUUUAAGCAUUCCAUAUAUUUAAGUGUUAAUACUUUCACUUAAAAUGGGCUUGACUGAACCAGAAAAAAACAAUGUGCACACUGAUAUAUUUGUAUUUUUAUUGUAAUGUUAUUCAGUUCUGGAACAACCUGCCCUCUGUAAUAUAGUUCCACCUAAUUUAUUUUCAAGGAAACAAUUAUAUUAGAUGGGAGUAUGUCUAUAUUGUCACCUUGAUAUUUUAUUUUCUACUCAUUAGCAAGUGGUCUAAAUUAUUUUUCUAUUGAAAAAAUAUGAUCUACAUUGAGAGAAAGAACUGUGGGAGUAGAAAUGCAGAAGAAAAACAUGAUUUAUCACUUUUUUAUAUGGGUAUAGGAUUUGGGUAAAAAUUAUACUAUUACAAAACUGAAUAAUAUUAAGAUAGAUUUUGAGUGAUAAUACAAGUAUAACCCAGUGGAAUUGCUUGUCAGCACCAGGACAGGGGAGGGAUAGAACACGAAUCAUUUAACCAUGGAAAAAUAUUUAAAAUUUAAAAUAAGAUAAAAAUAAAUAAAAACCAAAUAAAUUAUUUCUCUAUUAAAAGAGUUCCUUUUAUAUUCUAUUUUGAGUUAGUGUGUAGUUUGCUACUAUAAAAAGUCAUUUAUAUUAUGCAACACAAGCCAAAACAUAUAGGAAAGACAGAAAAUAGAAAGCCAAUAAAAACAUACCCAAGAUCAUUUACUACCUAAACAAAAUAAAUUAUACAGUUAUGAAGCUGAUUUGUAUUACAGAAAGAAAACCCAUAAAAUCUAAAAGUAUAGUCUUUUCCCUAAGAAACAAAUUUCCCACCACCAAAAUUAUAUUAAAGGAAGACAAAAGCAAUCUACCAAAGAAUCUUAUGUUGUUAUUUUUCUAAAUCAAACUACAAAUCUUUAAAAAAUUUUAAAAAUGCCAAAUAACCCAGAGUUGCAUAACUUCAGUUAACAAAAAAAAAAUAGCUGCAGCUAGAAAAUGUGAUUUUUCUUCCCUUUGAAAAGGCAACACAGACCAUUGGUAUAUAUGUACCAUAAAAAAAACAACAGGCGUAUUAGCUACUACAGGGCAAUUCAGGUUUCCAGGGAGAUAAAAACUAUACUCCCCAAGGUCAGAAAAACGUUUUCAGGAAACACUGUAGCUGUUAAAGACAUUAAAAUAUACUAAUAAGGCCUGUAGUAGGAACAAUCAGUAAAAUAGAAUCUUCAAGUACAAAUAAAUUACCAACAUCAUUUACUUAUUUCUCAGAGGUGUUGCUACCAUAAAAAUAAUAAUUCAGAAUGAUGGGAUAAUCAUAUCUCUAGUACUCAUUUAUGUAGCAUUAAGAAUCAAAUCUUAAUUUCAAUAAGUUUAUUUAUUGGAGGCUUCCAGCUUCAAAAAUUGUAGUUACUAGGCUUUCAGCUGUCACCAUGAAUGGAAAAUUGAUUUUUUUGAUCAUUGUAAGAGGUGAUAAAAACAUUCUUUGUUGAGUGACAUUGGAUGAUAGUCGAAGAAGGCAGAAGGCCACAUUAGGGAAAAGCCUGAACUGCAUCUUGGAUGUGCUUGCUAUAAAAAAUGGCUUAUUUUUUUUAACUUGUUAACCACUGAAAAAUAGGUGGUUUUCUUUUUAUGUAUGUAGUUAAUUUUUAAAAUUGGUUCACUUUCUAGGUGUAAUUGGGACAAGAUUUGUAAUUUUAUUGGCAUAGGAAACUUCUGAGUUGAGGAAAACUCCUUCAUGGAAGGUGAACACCUUCUCUUAAAAGUAGAGUUUUAGGGAACUAACUGGCAAGCACUGAAGAGUGAAGAGAUUUGCCAAACUAGCCACACACAGCUAGUAUGUGUUAGAGGUAAGUCUUGAACCAGGUCUUCCUGGUUCUGAGGCUUGUUCUCUAUUGUGAUAUACUGCCUCUCUAUAUAAUUUCAAAAAAUUUUUUUAAGUAAGGAUUAGCCAUAUGAGGUAGGCAUUCUUCACAUGACAAGGAUUUAGUUAGGGUGACAAUACAUUUUUCCCCCUUCACAGAAACUUUACCUCUAAGAAUUUCUCUUUCUUCAGCAAAGAAGCCUCAAAACCAAAGAGUGAGAGGAAAUGUGGUACUUUGCUGCACAAUAAUUUUCCCCACAAUGUAGCAAUCCACAAAGGAAAACAUUUCACCCCAGUUAGCCAUCAAGAGGAUCACAUAAACAAGAGGAAACACCUUGCAGAGAAGCCCCUGAACUGGCCACUUCCUAGUAUUUAUUAAUUACCUUUUCAGGCAAAAAUAUUAUAAACCAUAACAAACUACUCUUAUUCCAGGCAUAAUUUAAUAAUUUAAUUACUUUUAAACCCUGGAAGGGCCCUUGAAAACCAUCAAGUCUAAAGUCUUCAUUUUAACAGAUUAGGACACUAAAACCCAGAGAGAUUAAGUGAUUUUUCCAAAGUCAUAUAGCUCAUAAAUAUCUGAGAUAAUAUUUGAAUUCAAGUAUUCCUGUCUUUAAGUCCAGUACCAGCUAGCUGCUUCUAAGUUCUCAAAAAACAUCCCAUCUAUCAUUUACUGUUGAAAUGGAGAAAAGAAUAUUGAGAACUACAAUCCAUUCAGGGAUAAAAGGAGUCUUUAUCUCAAAGGCAAUGAUGCAAAAUGGGAAUCACACAAGGCUAAGAGUCUAGAAAGACCUGGAUUUACAAGCAAGAGACAAAGGUUCAUGGGAGGUAAAAUGGAUGAUUUUUUAUUGUAUAAAAGGAAAAAAAUUUUGCAGAAACAAAACCAAUGUAGCCAAAAUUAGGAGGGAAAGCAGAUUUCUUUGAUAAAUUCUGAAGUAUAUAGAGAAUUGAGCCAAAUUUAUAAAAAAAAAUAAGAGCUAUUCACCAGAUAAUAAAUGGUCAAAGGCUAUGAAUAGGCAAUUUUCAAAGGAAGAAACAAAAAAUUUCCAUAUAAUAUAAAAUGCUCUAAGUAACUAAUAAUGAAAGAAAUGCAAGUUAAAAUACCUUAGAGAUAAUUAGCUCAAACAUGUCAGAUUGACUAAGAUGACAGAAAAUGUAAAUAAUAAAUUCUGAAGUGUAUAUAUUGUGGGGAAAAUAUUGCACAGAAAGGGUUUGAAAUGUUGGAGUGAAGAUUGAUUGACAGUGAAGGUAGUUGGAGAGGGGAGGGGAGAGUAGGAGAGUGAUGGUUGUUUUCAAAAGAACUCUUUCCUGAACCUGGGGAUGGGGAGGUCUCUUUGACUAUCUGGAUAGAAGUACCUCUAUUCCUGAAUUUUUUCCAACUGUGUGCUCUACCUGAAUUCCUGGGGAUUAUGUUAUCAAAGAAAAGGAUUUAAGGGAAGUGACUUGAACUGUAAAGGCUGGUCUUGAGGGGGCGUUAGCCUGAACAGACAAGCCCAACCAGCUCAGAAGGUCAGAUUCUCUUCUUCCUCUUGCUGUCUACUGCUAAAGACUUUGAACUUAACAAAGCUAGCAUAGAUAUAGUAUAGAAAGGAAUAAAAGAAACCCUCCACAAGCCUGUGAGGCCAGGCUCAGCUCAAAAGCUGAGAGAUGUGAAACCCAAUCUGUACCCUGAUACCUCCCCAGUUUGAACUUGUUAUUAAAUCAUCUUUAGUUGAAUAAGCACACUCAGAUAAUCUUUGAAAGGGUGAGGGGAGCCUGAAAGAGUUUCUUAGGGGAGAAGGUUCUCUGUAACCUCAAGUAUGCUAAAUCUUGAGGUGCCCAUCUGUGCCUCCACCCCUUUUCACCCUGGUAUAUUAUCUGUAAGAAUAAUAUUUUCUUACAAUAUAUACUGUUGGUGGAGUUGUGAACCAGCCCAAUCAUUAGAAUUCUGCCCUAUGGGGCUAUAAAGCUGUUUUAUAUCCUUUGAAGCAGCAAUACCAUUAUUAGGUGUAUGCCACAAAGGGAUCAAAAAAAAGGAAAAGGAACCACAUACCCACAAAUCUCUAUGGUGGCUCUUUUUGUAUUGGAAACAAAUUAGAAAUUGAGGGGAUGCAACUGGGGAAUGGCUGAACAAGUUGUUGUAUAUGAAUGUGAAAGAAUACUAUUGUGCUAUAAAAAAUUAUUAAAAGGGAUGUUUUCCCAAAAACCAGGGAAGAAGUUUUAUGAACCAAUGCAAAAUGAAGUUAGGAGAACCAGAACAAUGUACACAGAAUCAGUAACAUUGUAAAGAGAAUUAACUGUGAAAGACUUACUGACCAAUUCAAUGACCUACCACAGCUCUGAAGGAGUUGAUGAAAAAUGCUAUCCACUUCCAUUUAGAGAAGUAAUGGUAUUAGGAUGCAGACUAAAGUGCACACACACAUAAUACACACAUAUUCCCUUUUUAAAUUUUUCUUGCUGUGGGGAGGGGGAAUAUGAGUAAUGUAGAAACAUAUUUCAAUAGUUGAGGAAGAGAGAGAGGGGGGGGAGAGUAAGGGAGGGAAGGA
Monodelphis domestica (gray short-tailed opossum) is the source of this 11081-nucleotide non-coding RNA. Lineage: Eukaryota; Metazoa; Chordata; Mammalia; Didelphimorphia; Didelphidae. The record is from RefSeq and is a predicted model, not a curated record.